AUUGCUUGCUCUGGUGUGCUGUUUUUCACCUACUCCACCAGGGCGGCAUCGGGGCCCCAGUUUCCUACUGAUCCCCACACCCACGCACUGUUCACCUGCUGCUCAUCACUGCUGACUGAUCCAGACAUUAGUCAAGACCUCAGUGGAUCGUGGCUCCUCACUGGAUCGUUGUACUUACCUUUAUGUCCCUGGACCUUUGCCUGUUUCCCUUGGACCCAACCUGGAUGAGUGCGAGUGUGUUUCUUGUCACGGACUGUAGGAAGAGGAGCGUGUAUCGGCUGCCCCAGACCCUCCCUUGGAAUCCCUGGAACUGUCAUCGCUGUAUAAAUAGUUCAGGUUUAGAGACACAGACGUAAAACGCAGGACUGUACAGCAUUCAGGAAAGUCACACGAUAUUAAAGUUUGUAAAAAUGAUUUAUUAUCAUGAUUUCAUAGUAAUGUUCACACGGUUGUUUUGUUUUUUCUCUUUCCCAGAUCUUUAUGAAGCUUCUGCAUUUGCCCAAACUUUACCUCUUUGUGAAGUUUGGUGAAACUGGGCAUGUUAUUGUGUAAUGAGUAAUAGAUGCCCUUGGCUCUCCUGGCAGAAAAAUAAAUAGGUGCACUUAAAGUCAUUUGGGAAAUGAUUAGUGAUAUUCCAUGAAACAGUGUGCAUUGUGUAACAUUGUGACUUUUCAUCAGGAAUCUCACCUUGCUCUGGGUCAUAUUCCCAUACAGGCACGAGAUUUUCAAGACCUUCUCUUGCUACCAUUGCUACCAUUCUGAGAUCUCGAGCACUGGAGCAGAUUCCAGUAAUGUUUACAAUGCAAUGAUUUAGCAUAUUCACACAUAUUUAAAAACAUAAAAGUCCACACUUGUCAGUCAAACAAGAAGUCUUCUCCAAGAAACCUGCAAGCUUGAGAGUCCUGCACAGUAGCUUUGCUGUUCCUAGGACAGAGAUCUCUGCGUCUGCAGGAGCCACUUGCCCAGUUUGGGGUCGGGUCAGUGACCAUGGGGAACACUGUUGCCUUCACACUCAUCAUGUGGAGCCCUUUUCUAGCACCUCUCACAGCCCUUUGUAAGUCUUGAGCUUCUUCCUGAUGUUGCAAUCAGUUGGUAUAACUACAUCAUUUCCCUCUGUUUGUCCACCACUAUUAUGUCUGCUUGGCUAGCAAUCACCAGUUUAUCCAUGUGG
Molecule: long non-coding RNA, 1171 nt
Organism: Neolamprologus brichardi
Lineage: Eukaryota; Metazoa; Chordata; Actinopteri; Cichliformes; Cichlidae
Source: RefSeq, a predicted model, not a curated record